UCAGGUGGUCCUGUCCUCAGGAGGUCCUGUCUUCAGGAGGACCUGUCCUCAGGUGGACCUGUCCUCAGGUGGUCCUGUCUUCAGGUCCUCAGGAGGACCUGUCCUCAGGUGGUCCUGUCUUCAGGUCCUCAGGAGGACCUGUCCUCAGGUGGUCCUGUCUUCAGGAGGACCUGUCCUCAGGUGGACCUGUCUUCAGGUCCUCAGGUGGACCUGUCCUCAGGUGGACCUGUCCUCAGG
Molecule: long non-coding RNA, 237 nt
Organism: Austrofundulus limnaeus
Lineage: Eukaryota; Metazoa; Chordata; Actinopteri; Cyprinodontiformes; Rivulidae
Exons: 3
Source: RefSeq, a predicted model, not a curated record